RNAcentral lists this ribosomal RNA (386 nucleotides) under uncultured prokaryote. RNAcentral describes it as "bacterial SSU rRNA". It matches the Rfam family "Archaeal small subunit ribosomal RNA", at positions 339 to 725 of the family's 1478-position model. The record is from RNAcentral.
GCGCGAAACCUCCGCAAUGCGAGCAAUCGCGACGGGGGGACCCCAAGUGCCACUCUUAACGGGGUGGCUUUUCUUAAGUGUAAAAAGCUUUUGGAAUAAGGGCUGGGCAAGACCGGUGCCAGCCGCCGCGGUAACACCGGCAGCCCGAGUGGUGGCCAUUUUUAUUGGGCCUAAAGCGUUCGUAGCCGGCCUGAUAAGUCUCUGGUGAAAUCCCACAGCUUAACUGUGGGAAUUGCUGGAGAUACUAUCAGGCUUGAGGUCGGGAGAGGUUAGCGGUACUCCCAGGGUAGGGGUGAAAUCCUAUAAUCCUGGGAGGACCACCUGUGGCGAAGGCGGCUAACUGGAACGGACCUGACGGCAAGGGACGAAAGCUAGGGGCACGAACC